RNAcentral lists this transfer RNA (91 nucleotides) under Burkholderia plantarii. RNAcentral's name for it is "tRNA-Asp". Lineage: Bacteria; Pseudomonadati; Pseudomonadota; Betaproteobacteria; Burkholderiales; Burkholderiaceae. The record is from RNAcentral.
GCGCCGCUGCACCGGCCCGGUGGGCGCGCCGUCAGCGCACCGCGAUGCCGAGCGCGCGCAGCGCGCCGUCGAUCGCCGCGACGGCGCGGCG